Non-coding RNA from Hordeum vulgare subsp. vulgare (domesticated barley), 113 nucleotides. The record is from Rfam. NCBI's taxonomy places the organism in Eukaryota, Viridiplantae, Streptophyta, Magnoliopsida, Poales, Poaceae.
ACGUUACUACCUCCGUUCCAUAUUAGGUGCCGCCAACGGAUGUAUCUAGCAGUGAAAUAUGUCUAGAUACAUCCAUUUCAGCGGCAACUAAUAUGGAACGGAGGGAGUACUUA